UGAUGGAUGUGGUACAGCUUAUGGAAGCUUUGUCCAUUGGGGUACAGGUCUGUGAAUCACCAGGUUUACACACUUCACAGCACUCACCAUAGCACAUACCCUCCCCAAUGUCUAGACGUGGGAUCUUGACCCAAGAUCUUUACCUGAGCUGAAAUCAAGAAUCAGUUGCUUAACCAACGGAGCCACCUUGGGACCCCAGAAAUACAUGUUUUUAAAAUGAAAUAAUGUCUCUGUGAGCUUUUAGAAACUUAUUUGAUCUAAUUCCAAACAGUACAUUUACAGAACUGUGAUAUUAAAAAAAUAAAAAUUCUUUGUUGUACAUUUGAGUUAUUGCCCUUGUAAUUAUUGCAUGUUUAAUGACUUAGGAAUCUGAUCCAUCAAUAAUUAUUUAUUAAUCAAUCUCUGUAUUAUUACACUUUAAUAUGUGUUGUGGGACAAAAACAAAAAAAGGAUGAUAAAUCAUGGAACUUUCUCAUAAUGACCAUCAUUCUUUAUGGGCAAAACAUAUGCAUCCUAAAAAUUAGAGAAUAAUCAAAUGCUAAACAGCCUUACUGAGAGUACAGAGAAUGGAGAUACCAGGCUGAAGUGCCUGAGAUUUUUAUGAAAAAGAUGAGAUUUGAGCUUAGCUUUGAAAAAAAAGGUUAAGGAUCCUUGAAAGUCAGGACAUAGAGAAACUAAUUUUUUAUGUGCUGGGCAUAAAGGUUCAUUAGUCUUGGUGAAAGCAAAUUAUGGGAAUAAUCC
This 741-nucleotide long non-coding RNA is filed under the name Mustela putorius furo (domestic ferret). RNAcentral's name for it is "lncRNA (ENSMPUG00000024427.1)". Lineage: Eukaryota; Metazoa; Chordata; Mammalia; Carnivora; Mustelidae. The record is from RNAcentral.